This 73-nucleotide transfer RNA is filed under the name Stegodyphus mimosarum. It matches the Rfam family "tRNA". From Rfam's summary of the family: Transfer RNA (tRNA) molecules are approximately 80 nucleotides in length. Their secondary structure includes four short double-helical elements and three loops (D, anti-codon, and T loops). Lineage: Eukaryota; Metazoa; Arthropoda; Arachnida; Araneae; Eresidae. The record is from Rfam by way of RNAcentral.
GCCUUUGUGGUGUAGUGGUCAGCACGCUCGACGCGUAUUCGAGAGGUCCGUGGUUCGAGUCCCGGCCUGGGCA